Molecule: long non-coding RNA, 656 nt
Filed under: Capsicum annuum
Lineage: Eukaryota; Viridiplantae; Streptophyta; Magnoliopsida; Solanales; Solanaceae
Description: long non-coding RNA (CANN_LNC001103)
Source: RNAcentral
CACAAUGUAGUCUUUAAAGAGUUUUUAUUUAGGGGGAGAUUUUCUCUCUCAUUAAUUUUUAUGUUUUUUAUAUUAGGAUUUAUAUGUAGGCCAAUUGACCAAAUAAUAUAAUAAUAUUAAGUCUUUUAGUAUUGUUUUAUGUGUCUUCUGAAUUGCCACCAUAAUGGUUUACAAAUAACAGCUUUCGCAUGACGCCCUCUCGAUUUCGAACCCAACAAGUGGUAUCAGAGCCCACGGUUCAAUAAAUCGAUGGUUCAAUUGUUGAAAAAAGUUGCAAUCAAUUUAAUGAUAAUGAAGAUAUAUGUUCAAAGGCUCGUAUACUUUUAACCCAAAAGCUCCAUUUUUAAGCAUGUCAAGCAGCAGGUAUGAAGACUAUGUGAAGAACAAAGAUUAAAGAUGUGAAGAAGGCGGAUUAAGUGAAGAAAAUCAAGCUAAAAAGGAGAGAUUUGUUAGGUUUUUGUCCUGAUUUUCUUACUAUAUUUAAGUUUUAUUUUUUUUAGAAGGAAAACAAAAGUUACCAUAAUUACUUUUACUUUUCCUGAAAGAAAAAACAUAUAAUUCUUUUCCAUAUUUGGCUAACCUCUUUCUUGGAGGAAAUGUUUUGAAUAUCUAUAAAUAGAAGACCCCUUCUCAUACCAUAACACAAUAGCAUCCAC